Molecule: ribosomal RNA, 508 nt
Filed under: Balamuthia mandrillaris
Lineage: Eukaryota; Discosea; Longamoebia; Balamuthiidae
Description: SSU rRNA
Rfam family: Bacterial small subunit ribosomal RNA
Source: RNAcentral
ACUAAGCUCGGGGAUAAUAAUGACGGUACCCGAGUAAAAAGCCCUGACUAACUUCGUGCCAGCAGUCGCGGUAAAACGGAGAGGGCAAGUGUUAUUCGUAUUGACUGGGUGUAAAGGGUACGUAGGCGGUUAUUUAAGUUAUAAAAAAAGCUAUAUCUUUUUAUAAUACUAUAUGACUAGAGUUAAAAAGGGGAUGGCGGUACCUCCAGUUUAGAAGUGACAUUCGUUUGAGAUUGGGGGGACCAGCAAUAGGCGACGGCUGCUUUCCAUUUUUAUACUGACGCUGAGGUACGAAAGCAUGGGGAGCGAACAGGAUUAGAGACCCUGGUAGUCCAUGCCCUGACCUAUGAAUAUUAAUCGUCCAUUUAGAUAGUGGAUGACUAACCUAACGCGAAAAUAUUCCACCUGAGGACUACGGCCGCAAGGUUAAAACUCAAAGAAAUUGGCGGAAGAUCGUUUAAGCGGUGGAGUAUGUGGUUUAAUUCGAUAAUACGCGAAAAACCUUACC